Molecule: unclassified non-coding RNA, 631 nt
Filed under: Centaurea tentudaica
Lineage: Eukaryota; Viridiplantae; Streptophyta; Magnoliopsida; Asterales; Asteraceae
Description: partial external transcribed spacer
Source: RNAcentral
UGCCCCUCACUUGCCAAUACGUCUAGAUCAGCCAGGGCGUCGGCAUGUGUAGCGUAUUAUGUUGGGCUCUCUCGAGAUAAGGAUACGAUGUCCCUUUAUCGGUUGGUUUCCUGUGUGUGCGGCCCGUUCGUUUUUUUGUUACUUUCGCAUCGUUCGGUGCAUUCUGGGGGCUGUGUUGGCUUUUGGUGGCUUGCUUGGCCUUUUGGCUUUGCUUGUUGCUACUUGUCGGGCUGCUUUCGGGAAUGUCGACCGUGGAGGUGCAUGAGUGGUGUUUGGUUUGUUACGUGUGGAUGGCUGUUUGCUUGUGCAACAACGUUCACGCUGCAUACCUCUUCAGUUUUGCGGCAAGGCUUGGUUUGGCUUGUGCAUAUUGUGGGUUUCCUGUGUUGCAUACCUAGUUGAUGGAAAAGUGUGGGUUUUACGAUUUUCAUUUUCGUCUUGCGUCGUUCUUUUGGCGUGAGAUGAACAAUGAAGCGAUCUUUGUGAUCCAUCGUGCUGUUGCGUUUGCAACAAUGAUGUGGCCUAUGAAGCAUCGUUUGGUCUCUUGUAUACGGAAGCUCAUUUGGGCUUGGGUCUUUAUAAGAUCUUCGUUACGCCCUUGUUAAGCGUUCUCGCUUCUCCUAAACGAUUG